This 73-nucleotide transfer RNA is filed under the name Marmota monax (woodchuck). Its description in RNAcentral is "tRNA.Ala". It matches the Rfam family "tRNA". From Rfam's summary of the family: Transfer RNA (tRNA) molecules are approximately 80 nucleotides in length. Their secondary structure includes four short double-helical elements and three loops (D, anti-codon, and T loops). Lineage: Eukaryota; Metazoa; Chordata; Mammalia; Rodentia; Sciuridae. The record is from RNAcentral.
UGGGGUUAUGGCUCAGUGGUAGAGUACUUGCCUAGCAUGUAUGAGGCACUGGGUUUAAUUCUCAGUACCACAA